GGAUUGCUCAUUGGUAGAGUUACAAGAUAGAAGGAGUUUCUAUCUAAAAGAGAAUGACCCAAGAAACCGACAUUGGCAGCAUCACAGCAUAGUGUGAGCAAGAAACGGGGAGCUGCAAACACGGGCUCUGCCCAGCGUCCAGACCAGGACAGUCACCCAGGCUGUAGGGCCUCAGCUCCGGCAGCUCCUGCUCUAGCCCUGUAUCUUAAGGCAGUGUGAGCCUCAGCACUCUGGCGUCUCCAUUUCCCCAUCACCAGCCCUUUUUUCCCCCUCAGAAAUGAUCAUCUGUCUUUCAUUGCUGUGCAGAUGAUACCCAAAUGUUACCUUCGUCCAUCAAACUGUCAGCCUAAUUGUUUA
This 357-nucleotide long non-coding RNA is filed under the name Mustela putorius furo (domestic ferret). RNAcentral's name for it is "lncRNA (ENSMPUG00000032086.1)". Lineage: Eukaryota; Metazoa; Chordata; Mammalia; Carnivora; Mustelidae. The record is from RNAcentral.